AAACCCUCAUCCAUGCGUUCUUACCGACGCAUGAAUGGAUUUGAGUGUUGCCGUAAUCGGCUCGCUCUGAAAUGCAUUAGCUUUGCGUCUAUUAGCGCGCUCGGCGUGGUGUGAUAAUUAUCUUCACCUAGCCUUAGGCCGCUUCCAAUGUCGCUGCUUCCAAUGGUCUUCACGGACAAAUCCAAUUAAAG
RNAcentral lists this unclassified non-coding RNA (191 nucleotides) under uncultured Auriculariales. Its description in RNAcentral is "sequence contains ITS2". Lineage: Eukaryota; Fungi; Basidiomycota; Agaricomycetes; Auriculariales. The record is from RNAcentral.